UUUGGGUAUUGGUUUUCAUGAUCAUCAAGCUACCUGUGCUAAUUCCGGGCGAGUUCCGGAAUCACAGUUGUUCAGAGUACAACGUGCUCCACAAACUGAGUAGAUAAGAAGGAAACUAUUUAAGCAACUUCAAACACUUUUUAAAACGUUGACUACGACGUCUAUUCGUGGUAAAGAACCAAGAACGAGACGCAAAGUCAACUAGCAAAACACCGGCAAGAAAAGAAACUGCCUGCCCAUUCAUGCAAGUUACAGUCACAGCGCAGCCAGUUCCAGCCCCAACCGCAGAAUCAAAUUCACGGCCUCACGGCGUUGCCGACCAGAGUUGCGCAGACGCCAACACGUAAUUCAGAAGAAACUCCACCUUUCCCGCGCAGGAACUAGGAAUUGCCUGCAAGCGAAGACGAGUAAAGGAAUUCUAUACUCGGUGGCGUUCUCGUACACCGCAAAUAGAAAAAGAAAUGCUUUUUAUUAGAUAGAAAAAGGAUAAUACCGGAGCGUUCGGGGAACCUGGCGCCUGCCGCCGGCCUAGGAUGGUGGAGGGCGCCGGCGGAUGGAGACGGCCGCGUUGCUCCAUCGAAUACAGCGGCGGCGUGCGCGGGCCGAACACGAGAAAACAUCGCCGCGACGCGGGACGGCGGCAGGAAACGCAUCAUCUCCUGCGGAUAAGCUCG
This 674-nucleotide long non-coding RNA is filed under the name Panicum hallii. RNAcentral describes it as "long non-coding RNA (PHAL_LNC000486)". The record is from RNAcentral. Lineage: Eukaryota; Viridiplantae; Streptophyta; Magnoliopsida; Poales; Poaceae.